AUCCAGCUGAUGAGUCCCAAUUAAGACGAAACGCGCAUCCUGGAU
Schistosoma margrebowiei is the source of this 45-nucleotide non-coding RNA. The record is from Rfam. Lineage: Eukaryota; Metazoa; Platyhelminthes; Trematoda; Strigeidida; Schistosomatidae.